This 100-nucleotide microRNA precursor is filed under the name Felis catus (domestic cat). Its description in RNAcentral is "mir-544 microRNA precursor family". It matches the Rfam family "mir-544 microRNA precursor family". Lineage: Eukaryota; Metazoa; Chordata; Mammalia; Carnivora; Felidae. The record is from Rfam by way of RNAcentral.
AUCGCCUGAGGAUCUUGUUAAAAUGCAGGCUCUGAUACAAUUAAAUCUGGGGGUGGGGUCUGAGAUUCUGAAUCUCUAACAAGUUCUCAGGUGAUGCCCA